GACGGACGCUGGCGGCGUGCCUAAUACAUGCAAGUAGAACGCAGUUGCGAGCGUGUGAGUAACGCGUGUGUAACUGCCUCAGCGCGGCGGGGAACUAUUGGAAACGAUAGCUAAUACCGCAUACUAUGAGAUGGACCUGCGUUGUAUUAGCUAGUUGGUGAGGUAAAGGCUCACCAAGGCGACGAUACAUAGCCGACCUGAGAGGGUGAUAGGCUAAACUGGGACUUAGACACGGCCCAGACUCCUACGGGGUGCAGCAGUGGGGGCUGCUCGGCAAUUGACGGAAGGCCGGACGAGCAAAUCCGCGUGAAGGAAGAAGGGGUUACGGUCGUAAAGCUCCGGUGGUACAGAAGCGGUAGCCAACCAGAAAGCGACGGCUAACUUCGUGUCAGCAGCCGCGGUAAUUC
Molecule: ribosomal RNA, 407 nt
Filed under: uncultured bacterium
Lineage: Bacteria
Description: partial 16S ribosomal RNA
Rfam family: Bacterial small subunit ribosomal RNA
Source: RNAcentral